UAUUUUUCGAUCAUAAAAUGAACGAGUGUUUUUUGAGUUUUCGAUGACGUUGUCUCGAAUCUAUUAUUUUUUUAACAGAAACAGUAGUAAAACACGACCGGAUGGCGAGAACAUGAAGUACUAUAUUUUGGCGAUUGUCCAUUGUUAUCUAUACAGUGAUCUGGACGUGACUUUAGAGCAUGGCUAACAAACGAGGGCGAUAAUAAAAGAAUUGACGAUUAAAUCAAUUGCAAGCUAUUGAUAACAGCUAUAUGACAAAUCAGUGCAGCUAUAACUAUGGAUCUUGAUGAGAAUGACGAUAUGUGGUUACCAAAUUCUACUUCUGUUAAUUUUAUUCUAAAAGGCUCUUUUAGACAGAGUGUAGUUUUAUGCAGAAAGAAAAGUGGACUGUUUCUCUCUUUUAUCAUUGGUAUCUAUGAUUCAGGCGAAUCUAACCAAUCAAUAAUUUUGUUCAAUUUGAUUUCAAUAAAAGAAAACGAGCUACAAUGAGUAUUCUAAUGUGGUGAUGAAUUUAAGAUGGAUUAUUUAUUGAUCAAUUUUAUUCUGGUUAUAUUGUUAUAUCGUUCAUGGACAUAUUUCACCACAAUUACUGAAUAUGAAUUACAUUUACUUAUUAUGCCCCUAGGCAGAGCAUUUAGUGGUUUAACAAAGAUCACAGAGAAACAAAAGAUUAUCAAAGAAAAGUAUAGUUUUGUUAGAACAUUAUUCUAAACUUUUUUAAACAAAAAACCCACUUUAU
This is a long non-coding RNA of Trachymyrmex septentrionalis, 739 nucleotides long. RefSeq lists it as uncharacterized. The transcript is spliced from 5 exons. The record is from RefSeq and is a predicted model, not a curated record. NCBI's taxonomy places the organism in Eukaryota, Metazoa, Arthropoda, Insecta, Hymenoptera, Formicidae.